UACGUAGGGCGCAAGCGUUGUCCGGAAUUAUUGGGCGUAAAGAGCUCGUAGGCGGUUUGUCGCGUCUGCUGUGAAAACCUAAGGCUCAACCUUGGGCUUGCAGUGGGUACGGGCAGACUAGAGUGCGGUAGGGGUGACUGGAAUUCCUGGUGUAGCAGUGGAAUGCGCAGAUAUCAGGAGGAACACCGAUGGCGAAGGCAGAUCUCUGGGCCGUAACUGACGCUGAGGAGCGAAAGCAUGGGGAGCGAACAGG
Molecule: ribosomal RNA, 253 nt
Filed under: uncultured bacterium
Lineage: Bacteria
Description: partial 16S ribosomal RNA
Rfam family: Bacterial small subunit ribosomal RNA
Source: RNAcentral